Molecule: long non-coding RNA, 702 nt
Filed under: Physcomitrium patens
Lineage: Eukaryota; Viridiplantae; Streptophyta; Bryopsida; Funariales; Funariaceae
Description: long non-coding RNA (PPAT_LNC004270)
Source: RNAcentral
UACCGACAUUUUGAUCCUUGGCUUUCAGUUUUUAGGGUUUCGGCCGGCAUAUGAACAGUGCAGAAAAGGAUCCUUUGUUUCACAUUGCGACUACUGGGUUUUGUUAUCGCCACUCGCUCUUUGCAUUACAAUUUAGUUUUUCAGUCUAACUAAAAUCCCAUAUACAAAAUAUAUUUAAGGCCACCUCCAAUUACUGCACAAGGAGUUUGUUUGGAUUGUUGCAGCCCAGUCGUCAAAUUGAGUGAGAUUUUGGCAUUUCGAGGAAUUGGACCAGGAUCUUGCAUUUAGUUCACAUGGCUGAAUGCAGUUGUUAACGCACACACAAACACACACACGUGCUCUUAAAUCAUGAGAACUACACGUGACUUUUAAAAAAGAAAAAAAGAAAAAUGGGAAAACACGGAAGGCAUGAUUUGAAAUGUUUCAUUCCAAAUAAAACUGUAAAAUCCUAACUUUUAACUCUGGAACUGCUGCAUAAAAAAAUACCAACUGAGCGAGUAUCGUGAACACUUUAUUCAACUGAAUGAGUGUAUUUAUCAGGAGAAUUUUACUUUAGAUGAAUAUUAUUUUCCACAUUGUAUAUAUAUUUUUUGAUUUAUCAAAAUGCAUUAUAAACAGAUUUCUAUCAUUAUUUUUUUGUUCUCUCUAAAAACUUAGAAUACAUAGACAUACCAAUCUAGAUUAAUAGUAUAAUACACACCU